GAUGAACGCUGGCGGCGUGCCUAAUACAUGCAAGUCGAGCGAACGGACGAGAAGCUUGCUUCUCUGAUGUUAGCGGCGGACGGGUGAGUAACACGUGGAUAACCUACCUAUAAGACUGGGAUAACUUCGGGAAACCGGAGCUAAUACCGGAUAAUAUUUUGAACCGCAUGGUUCAAAAGUGAAAGACGGUCUUGCUGUCACUUAUAGAUGGAUCCGCGCUGCAUUAGCUAGUUGGUAAGGUAACGGCUUACCAAGGCAACGAUGCAUAGCCGACCUGAGAGGGUGAUCGGCCACACUGGAACUGAGACACGGUCCAGACUCCUACGGGAGGCAGCAGUAGGGAAUCUUCCGCAAUGGGCGAAAGCCUGACGGAGCAACGCCGCGUGAGUGAUGAAGGUCUUCGGAUCGUAAAACUCUGUUAUUAGGGAAGAACAUAUGUGUAAGUAACUGUGCACAUCUUGACGGUACCUAAUCAGAAAGCCACGGCUAACUACGUGCCAGCAGCCGCGGUAAUACGUAGGUGGCAAGCGUUAUCCGGAAUUAUUGGGCGUAAAGCGCGCGUAGGCGGUUUUUUAAGUCUGAUGUGAAAGCCCACGGCUCACCCGUGGAGGGUCAUUGGAAACUGGAAAACUUGAGUGCAGAAGAGGAAAGUGGAAUUCCAUGUGUAGCGGUGAAAUGCGCAGAGAUAUGGAGGAACACCAGUGGCGAAGGCGACUUUCUGGUCUGUAACUGACGCUGAUGUGCGAAAGCGUGGGGAUCAAACAGGAUUAGAUACCCUGGUAGUCCACGCCGUAAACGAUGAGUGCUAAGUGUUAGGGGGUUUCCGCCCCUUAGUGCUGCAGCUAACGCAUUAAGCACUCCGCCUGGGGAGUACGACCGCAAGGUUGAAACUCAAAGGAAUUGACGGGGACCCGCACAAGCGGUGGAGCAUGUAGUUUAAUUCGAAGCAACGCGAAGAACCUUACCAAAUCUUGACAUCCUUUGACAACUCUAGAGAUAGAGCUUUCCCCUUCGGGGGACAAAGUGACAGGUGGUGCAUGGUUGUCGUCAGCUCGUGUCGUGAGAUGUUGGGUUAAGUCCCGCAACGAGCGCAACCCUUAAGCUUAGUUGCCAUCAUUAAGUUGGGCACUCUAAGUUGACUGCCGGUGACAAACCGGAGGAAGGUGGGGAUGACGUCAAAUCAUCAUGCCCCUUAUGAUUUGGGCUACGCACGUGCUACAAUGGACAAUACAAAGGGCAGCGAAACCGUGAGGUCAAGCAAAUCCCAUAAAGUUGUUCUCAGUUCGGAUUGUAGUCUGCAACUCGACUACAUGAAGCUGGAAUCGCUAGUAAUCGUAGAUCAGCAUGCUACGGUGAAUACGUUCCCGGGUCU
RNAcentral lists this ribosomal RNA (1372 nucleotides) under uncultured bacterium. RNAcentral's name for it is "bacterial SSU rRNA". It matches the Rfam family "Bacterial small subunit ribosomal RNA", at positions 28 to 1381 of the family's 1533-position model. The record is from RNAcentral.